GGAAUCUUCCACAAUGGGCGAAAGUCUGAUGGAGCAACGCCGCGUGAGUGAAGAAGGUUUUCGGAUCGUAAAGCUCUGUUGUUGGUGAAGAAGGAUAGAGGCAGUAACUGGUCUUUAUUUGACGGUAAUCAACCAGAAAGUCACGGCUAACUACGUGCCAG
This 161-nucleotide ribosomal RNA is filed under the name uncultured bacterium. RNAcentral's name for it is "partial 16S rRNA". It matches the Rfam family "Bacterial small subunit ribosomal RNA", at positions 358 to 511 of the family's 1533-position model. The record is from RNAcentral.